GACGAACGCUGGCGGCGUGCCUAAUACAUGCAAGUUGAGCGCUGAAGGUUGGUACUUGUACCAACUGGAUGAGCAGCGAACGGGUGAGUAACGCGUGGGGAAUCUGCCUUUGAGCGGGGGACAACAUUUGGAAACGAAUGCUAAUACCGCAUAAAAACUUUAAACACAAGUUUUAAGUUUGAAAGAUGCAAUUGCAUCACUAAAAGAUGAUCCCGCGUUGUAUUAGCUAGUUGGUGAGGUAAAGGCUCACCAAGGCGAUGAUACAUAGCCGACCUGAGAGGGUGAUCGGCCACAUUGGGACUGAGACACGGCCCAAACUCCUACGGGAGGCAGCAGUAGGGAAUCUUCGGAAAUGGACGAAAGUCUGACCGAGCAACGCCGCGUGAGUGAAGAAGGUUUUCGGAUCGUAAAACUCUGUUGGUAGAGAAGAACGUUGGUGAGAGUGGAAAGCUCAUCAAGUGACGGUAACUACCCAGAAAGGGACGGCUAACUACGUG
RNAcentral lists this ribosomal RNA (497 nucleotides) under uncultured bacterium. Its description in RNAcentral is "partial 16S ribosomal RNA". It matches the Rfam family "Bacterial small subunit ribosomal RNA", at positions 28 to 507 of the family's 1533-position model. The record is from RNAcentral.